UACGGAGGGUGCAAGCGUUAUCCGGAUUUACUGGGUUUAAAGGGUGCGUAGGUGGGCAGUUAAGUCAGCGGUGAAAUCCCCGAGCUUAACUCGGGAACUGCCAUUGAUACUAUCUGUCUUGAAUAUCCUGGAGGUGAGCGGAAUAUGUCAUGUAGCGGUGAAAUGCUUAGAUAUGACAUAGAACACCCAUUGCGAAGGCAGCUCACUACGGGAUUAUUGACACUGAGGCACGAAAGCGUGGGGAUCAAACAGG
RNAcentral lists this ribosomal RNA (253 nucleotides) under uncultured bacterium. RNAcentral describes it as "partial 16S ribosomal RNA". It matches the Rfam family "Bacterial small subunit ribosomal RNA", at positions 524 to 776 of the family's 1533-position model. The record is from RNAcentral.